UACGUAGGGUGCGAGCGUUAAUCGGAAUUACUGGGCGUAAAGCGUGCGCAGGCGGUUUUGUAAGCCAGAUGUGAAAUCCCCGGGCUUAACCUGGGAAUGGCAUUUGGGACUGCAAGGCUUGAGUGCGGCAGAGGAGACUGGAAUUCCUGGUGUAGCAGUGAAAUGCGUAGAUAUCAGGAGGAACACCGAUGGCGAAGGCAGGUCUCGUGGGCUGACACUGACGCUCAUGCACGAAAGCGUGGGGAGCGAAACAAAGGUGUAUACCCACUAGUCAGACCCAAGUCUACUG
This 289-nucleotide ribosomal RNA is filed under the name uncultured bacterium. Its description in RNAcentral is "partial 16S ribosomal RNA". It matches the Rfam family "Bacterial small subunit ribosomal RNA", at positions 524 to 802 of the family's 1533-position model. The record is from RNAcentral.